This 507-nucleotide ribosomal RNA is filed under the name Triticum aestivum (bread wheat). RNAcentral describes it as "partial small subunit ribosomal RNA". Lineage: Eukaryota; Viridiplantae; Streptophyta; Magnoliopsida; Poales; Poaceae. The record is from RNAcentral.
AUGCUAUAUUAUCUUCUGUUUUGGACAUUAUUGGGCCUUAUUAUUCACUUUUACAUUAUUUUUGGGACUAACCUAUUAACCGGAGGCCCAGCCCAGAAUUGUUGUUUUUUUCCUAGUUCAGAGUUGCGCAGAAAAAGAAUAUCAAACGGAGUCCAAACGGAAUGGAACCUUCGGGAACGUGAUUUUCGGAACGAACAUGAUCCAGGAGACUUGGACCCAACGUCAAGCAACCAACAGGGAGGCCACGAGGAAGGGGGGGCGCCUACCCCCCAGGCGCGCCCUCCACCUUUGUGGGCCCCCUGUUGCUCCACCGACGUACUUCUUCCUCCUAUAUAUACCUACGUACCCCCAAACGAUCAAAUACGGAGCCAAAACCCUAAUUCCACCGCCGUAACUUUCUGUAUCCACGAGAUCCCAUCUUGGGGCCUGUUCCGGAGCUCCACCGGAGGGGGCAUCGAUCACGGAGGGCUUCUACAUCAACACCAUAGCCUCUCCGAUGAUGUGUGA